GAUGAACGCUGGCGGCGUGCCUAAUACAUGCAAGUCGAGCGAACGGACGAGAAGCUUGCUUCUCUGAUGUUAGCGGCGGACGGGUGAGUAACACGUGGAUAACCUACCUAUAAGACUGGGAUAACUUCGGGAAACCGUAGCUAAUACCGGAUAAUAUUUUGAACCGCAUGGUUCAAAAGUGAAAGACGGUCUUGCUGUCACUUAUAGAUGGAUCCGCGCUGCAUUAGCUAGUUGGUAAGGUAACGGCUUACCAAGGCAACGAUGCAUAGCCGACCUGAGAGGGUAAUCGGCCACACUGGAACUGAGACACGGUCCAGACUCCUACGGGAGGCAGCAGUAGGGAAUCUUCCGCAAUGGGCGAAAGCCUGACGGAGCAACGCCGCGUGAGUGAUGAAGGUCUUCGGAUCGUAAAACUCUGUUAUUAGGGAAGAACAUAUGUGUAAGUAACUGUGCACAUCUUGACGGUACCUAAUCAGAAAGCCACGGCUAACUACGUG
RNAcentral lists this ribosomal RNA (497 nucleotides) under uncultured bacterium. RNAcentral describes it as "partial 16S ribosomal RNA". It matches the Rfam family "Bacterial small subunit ribosomal RNA", at positions 28 to 507 of the family's 1533-position model. The record is from RNAcentral.